GCUUACGGCCAUAUCACGUUGAAAGCACCGGUUCUCGUCUGAUCACCGAAGUUAAGCAACAUCGAGCCUAGUUAGUACUUAGAUGGGUGACCGCUGGGAACCCUAGGUGCUGUAAGCA
This 118-nucleotide ribosomal RNA is filed under the name Octopus vulgaris (common octopus). Lineage: Eukaryota; Metazoa; Mollusca; Cephalopoda; Octopoda; Octopodidae. The record is from RNAcentral. RNAcentral also lists the same sequence under 1 other name.